UGAUGAUUGUAAAACGAAUGUGAAUCGUCGUCCAGUUGGCGCGCUAAUAACUUUCUUUUUAAAAAUUUAAAAUAUUAGAAGUAGAAAGGUCUGUUUUCCGCAAACACUAAAUAAUUUGAUAUGAAAAUAAUCCAAAUAUUUCCAUGGAUAUUGAGCGCUGGCGAUCAAACUGCUUUCUUCAUGGGUUUUUUCGGUUUGGUUUUAGGGAAGGGGUUGAUUUUCUUUGAUUUUGGCGGGGAGUUGGUGUCAGGUGGGUAGGGCAGAUUUUUUAAUAUCGAUAUCUCUACAAAGCGUGGUUAAUUAGAAUAUUUAAGUCGUCUGCAUUUCGUUUAGUAAAGCUAAAGGAGAUGAAGGAUCAGAUAUUUUUAAAAAUAGAAAUCUGAGAAGAUAAGACUGGCUUGGAAAAGUGUAGCCUUUGAAGUGGCUGCAUAAGAAAUAGCAGAACAAAAAAAAUAUGGCAGUUGUGAUUCUCCAUGACCAUGCUCUCCACUCCAUGCUGUUUCUCAGAUUUGAAGCCAGAGCCAGCCAUCAUAAAACCACACAAUAUGCAAGUUUUUCUUGUGUAUAUAGGUGUUAACUGUUAACCUGUCACCAGCAACAAUCUCAAGAUCAUCGCUUGGAUAAAAAGCAUCCCAUUGCAUUGGAAUGCAAUCAAAUGCAUUGUCAACCGAGUAACGGAUCUCUCUUUCGUCCAUGUGAAUGUGGGUGUAUUCACGUUCACGAGGACCCCCUUUACCCUAUCCCGUCUGGUGUCAUUCAACUCUUCAG
This is a long non-coding RNA of Daphnia pulicaria, 768 nucleotides long. RefSeq lists it as uncharacterized. The record is from RefSeq and is a predicted model, not a curated record. NCBI's taxonomy places the organism in Eukaryota, Metazoa, Arthropoda, Branchiopoda, Diplostraca, Daphniidae. The transcript is spliced from 3 exons.